Molecule: long non-coding RNA, 4242 nt
Filed under: Dermacentor andersoni
Lineage: Eukaryota; Metazoa; Arthropoda; Arachnida; Ixodida; Ixodidae
Description: uncharacterized LOC126529892
Source: RNAcentral
AGUUGAAAUUAUAGGGACUUCAGUGUACAUUUUAAACACUAGAAAAUGGAAGACUGCAGUUCUUUUGCAUACUCUGAAGUCAGUUCUAUGACAGCUGUGAGGCAGUUAUUAAAAAUGGCAGGAGUUAAUCCAAAAAUGAAGGACUAAUCUACAAAUUGUGGCCCUUAGCUUACUGAGCUGCUCCAUGGAGUGUUAUUCUCAAUAUAGCUGCCCAAAAUUUGAACUCUGCCGCUCCAAAAAUGUCCUUUUCCACCCGUUUAACCUGCAGCAAAUUUGAGAUGUCCUGCUCCCAAUUAAAGAUUUUCCUGCUCCAGAAGUUGCGCCAAAAGCUGUUCUCGCAAUCCCACCCUGUACAUAAUGCCACCUAUCUUGAGAUUAUGGGUGAACUUGUGAACAUAACAAACCACUGCAAGUCUUGUGGUUCUUGUAGUUGCUCUUUUGCUUGUUGCUUGUGUCUUUUAAAAGUGAAGGUGUUUCAGCUAUUUCAAGGCUUUUUGACAUAAAAUAUUUCUUGGUCAUUUUUAACUGAGAAGGCUCCCCGAAGCACUGUUCUAACAGUUGAACCAUAUUUAGAAACCACAGCAAGGGCUCUCAUUUACACAUAAACUUCCACUGCGUAACACCCUGCAGAUUUUAGAUUUAAAGUUAACUUUUUUAGCACAUACAUAAACCUCGACAUAAUGGAGUCCGUAAAAUCGGCACAUUAUAUAUUGAAGUUUCGUACUGAAACGCGACAUUUUAUGCAAGUAAGUAUACAGUUGCCAGCGAAUCUUUCUUUCAAGAAGGGGGUCGUAAAAUGUUCAAAAUUAUUGGGCAAUUGGGAGAAACUAAUUUCAGUAAGAAAAGAAAUUGUCAUUUUGCUGAAUGUGGGAUUCGGUGAUCAAAGAUACGGCGUUAUGCCGUGUCGAUGAUAUUUCCACGUCGGCAGUACGAAGCGAAGCGUGCAAAGCUUUCGCAUCCACUCAAUCACCACGGUUGAUAGUGUAGCCCACAGUGGGAUGACGCUAUUAUGAAGAGCGGAAGCAAAGAGAAGCUAACACUUUGUCUGCCUCUCACUUCAAUGCGUCUACGAAACUUGAGGUUACACGACAUCCAGCACUAAACGCCUAAAAAGACAGCGCACAUGAAGCCUCGGCUUGGCAAGCCUUUCCACCUGGCAUAGAUAAUCUCCAAGAUAAUGCGCACGGGCCACAUAUGCCUUCAGUCAUGCUGACAACCACAUGCACCCACAACCGUGCUCGAAGAGGCAUCAAGCCACCAUCCUUCUUGGCUCACCCUCGCACCCACAGCAUACGUCGUGUGAGGCAUAGUAGGACUUGGUGCUAAGACCGGAUGUUUAGGCAUUAAAAAAUGCUGUUUUAGAUGCCUGUGAAAGGCACUAAAGCCGUUAUUUAAAGGGACACUAUAAGCAAAUACUAAGUCAAGCUAAAGUGAUAGUGCUCGAGAAUCUCUAAGGCGCCAAUGUUAUCGCGAACAGAGCCUUAAUAAUAGAGAAAUCGAGCUAAAUGCAGGACAUGAUUAGAGACUCCCCCGGGACAUUCAAGCACUUGCCUGAUGAUGAAAGCACUCCUCAGUUAAAUUCUGUCACUAGUACUCAACUACUCCUUGCAAAAAACAUCCUCGCAUUGUAUUAUAAUAUGAAAUAAAAUGCUAGUUGUCCACUUCCAUUUCAUGUUUAGAAAAAACACAUUGAAAUUACCAUUGACAAUGAUGUGGGCGGUCGAAAGAUUUUGUUUUUGCUCGCUUCUGCACCGCCCACGCUUUCGCGUUUCAGUACUUUCCUGAUCGCGUAGUGCUGCGCAGGUUUUGCUGGCUCACGAAACUUGUUCAAACUACAAGUAGCAGAGAAUUCAACUUCUAUGUGAUGUCGCGGGAUGCCUGAGUGGUCUACGCCACUUGACCAAAAAGCAGCUGCAGCGGUGAUUCCGCCGCUCUUUCUUGGCUCGGUGCUGCCGUCUCUCGGGUGCCGUUUUAUUCACCGAUGGCAGCAAAGGGCGGUGAUGACGUAUGCAACGUCACCACUCUCCGGUUGGGUGGCGGGAGAUUUUAAUUUCGAAAAAGGCAUUCAGACCCUUCAAAUAAAAUUUGCUCGUAAACUAAGUCUUUUCUUGGCGUGAAACAGCCGUUGCAAGGUUUCUGGAAAGGUAAUUAAACAGUCCAGGUCGCAUUAAUAUUUGCCUUUAGUGUCCCUUUAAAGCAUAUAUAGGUACCAUAUAAUAUCUUUGAGUCAUCUAUAGGCUUAGUUAAAGGAACUCUAGCUGUGCAACUGAGGAUAAAUUCUUCGGAGCACAGUCUACAAAACCCUUGUUUUCUGAAAUUCACUUUAUUUUCUUGAUAAAGUAGAAUGAAGCAGUGUAGGCUACAAGAUUUAUUUGAAGUUUAGUGUGACUAGGCACCAUGCAGAAAGUUGUGAAAUUGUGGACAAACAUGCAGAAUCUCAAGAUUUUUGGGUUUCGUGUUGAGCCUUUCUGUAUUGAAUAUUGAUUUGUAUGCAGAUAAGGAAGACUCGGCAACCACCGAAGUUAGGGGCACAUAUUUGUACUUUGGCUUGUUUGAUGGCCUUCCAGAAUUCCACAAUGUCUGCCAGUCAGAACCUUUGAUAACUCUGUCAGCAACAGGUUCAUUGGGAACAGUGGCGGCCCUUUCUUAAACGUCCAGAAUGUGGCUCCACAUUCUGGGUCAGAGUUGUGCUGGGCAUUCAAGUUUCUCAGUGAUGUAGGCUAAUAACAUGAAGUGAGCGCACAAGUGUGCUUAGCCUCCUUCUAGUGCAUUGUACAGUUUGAGCCCUUCUCACAGCGAGGCUUUUGUCUGCUACAAAGCUGUUAAUAAUGGGCACAGGCAAAGUGUUUCUGGUAACAGUCCACUGCCUUCAGCCAAGGUCCCAGGAGGGUGAUCACAUUAUAAACAAUAAGGAUAGUACAAAACAGAAGAAGGCAUUUUUAGGCUCUGAUAAUUCAAUAUAGGCACUAAUAUUGAAAUAGGCUUUAAGAGGCACAAUAAAAGUGUCGCUGAAAUGUUUCUGGGCCCAUAGUUCAUGCUUAUAUGGUAAAUAGGCAUGAUAAGGACGUAAGGGAAAAAUAAGCAUAUUGCCUAAAGUUCUGGUCUCCGUUUAUUGCACUUGGACUUUAUUAAUAAAGGGAAAUGAGACAUCCACCCAAUCGUCCUGGAAAGGCGGUGGUCCCGGGUUCUAGUCCCGGACCAGGACGAAUUUUUCCUAAACUGCGAGGCUUUUCUUUCGAGGAACCCAGAUGGGUUUCCUUUGUAGCAAUUGCUACGAUUGGGUGGAUGUCUCAUUUCCCUUUAUUAGUUACUUCCCUCCACCUUGCGGGUUUCCGCAGAACUAUUACGUCAAACACUUGCACUUUAUAUGGAGCAUGUUGGUGAGAGGGCUUUGCACUUAGCACUAGUACCGCUACUCGUGUGUAUCAGGCGCUGCUCCAUUUUGACGGCCACUCUCUGCCGGGGCGCAUGUGAUUUGAAAGAUGCGUUCACAAGUAGCUGCAUGUAAUUCAGCCAUUUGACCAGCUGUGGGUUUAGCGUAUGUAUAUAUAUUAACCCCUUCGCUUCUGCCCGUGUGGUUCUUUGCCACACCUGGUGGUCCGCAGCACAUUUACCUGCUUCAUCGAGCAUGUACCACAUUGUAAGAAAAUUGCUCUAAAAUCUGCUACAGCAUUUACAAAAUGUCUUAUUUAUUUUGUUCACAAAAGGCUUCCGCAUCAGAUGCAGUGAAAAAAAAAAAAUCAAGAAAAAUUUCAAGCGUGCUGAAACGUGAUGUGCACUUUUGAGUUUCUUGCACCCAGAACGCCUCUUAGACUUUGGAACUUGGCCUUCGAAAGCAUUCAAUAGUUCUGCUUUGCAGUUUUCAGUGGUAUGUGCUGAAAGAAAUGCAUCCGCUCGGAAGCCUUUCCGCUUUCUUCAAGUGAGGUACUCUGGUUACAACGGCUACCGCAACAGAAUGGAGUAAGGCGAGCCGGAAGCUUUGCAUUGUUUUACAGAAUACUCCUGCUGAAAGUGUAGACAAGUAGGACGAUCCAGUGCGCGAAGCCCAAUACAAGUAGACAAUAACCUGCAAUGUGCUGCCAUCUAUAAAAAAUAGCCAGAAUCAGCCGUUCUUUGAGCGACUGAUCGUGCACUGGUCACUUCAACGUUGGCCUUGGCAAUCGUGGCUGGUGUAUCAGCGGUUGUAGAAGUGAAUGGGUUAAUGUUUUUUAUUAACGUUUGCUGACAAAAAUAUUGCAUAAG